CCCGCACAAGCGGUGGAUUAUGUGGAUUAAUUCGAUGCAACGCGAAAAACCUUACCUACCCUUGACAUGUCCUGAAGCCUGGAGAGAUCCGGGUGUGCCCGAAAGGGAACGGGAACACAGGCGCUGCAUGGCUGUCGUCAGCUCGUGUCGUGAGAUGUUGGGUUAAGUCCCGUAACGAGCGCAACCCUUGUCCUUAGUUGCCAGCGGUUCGGCCGGGAACUCUAAGGAGACUGCCGGUGAUAAACCGGAGGAAGGUGGGGACGACGUCAAGUCAUCAUGGCCCUUAUGGGCAGGGCUACACACGUGCUACAAUGGCCAGUACAGAAGGUUGCCAACCCGCGAGGGGGAGCUAAUCCUCAAAAGCUGGUCGUAGUCCGGAUCGCAGUCUGCAACUCGACUGCGUGAAGUCGGAAUCGCUAGUAAUCGCGAAUCAGCAUGUCGCGGUGAAUACGUUCCCGGGCCUU
Molecule: ribosomal RNA, 464 nt
Filed under: uncultured Gammaproteobacteria bacterium
Lineage: Bacteria; Pseudomonadati; Pseudomonadota; Gammaproteobacteria
Description: bacterial SSU rRNA
Rfam family: Bacterial small subunit ribosomal RNA
Source: RNAcentral